GCGAGUGUGGUGAAAUUGGCAGACGCGCUAGAUUCAGGUUCUAGUGGGAGCGAUCCCAUGCAGGUUCAAGUCCUGUCACUCGCACCA
This 87-nucleotide transfer RNA is filed under the name Candidatus Borkfalkia excrementigallinarum. Its description in RNAcentral is "tRNA-Leu". It matches the Rfam family "tRNA". From Rfam's summary of the family: Transfer RNA (tRNA) molecules are approximately 80 nucleotides in length. Their secondary structure includes four short double-helical elements and three loops (D, anti-codon, and T loops). Lineage: Bacteria; Bacillati; Bacillota; Clostridia; Christensenellales; Christensenellaceae. The record is from RNAcentral.